This 642-nucleotide ribosomal RNA is filed under the name Taiozyma onychis. RNAcentral's name for it is "Wickerhamomyces onychis partial large subunit ribosomal RNA". It matches the Rfam family "Eukaryotic large subunit ribosomal RNA", at positions 38 to 667 of the family's 3401-position model. The record is from RNAcentral. Lineage: Eukaryota; Fungi; Ascomycota; Saccharomycetes; Phaffomycetales; Wickerhamomycetaceae.
GCAUAUCAAUAAGCGGAGGAAAAGAAACCACCGGGGUAUUGCCUCAGUACGGCGAGUGAAGCGGCAAAAGCUCAAAUUUGAAAUCUGGUUGUGCCUGGCGCAGCCCGAGUUGUAAUUUGAAGAAGGCGACUCUGGAGGCGGCCCUUGCCUAUGUUCCUUGGAACAGGACGUCACAGAGGGUGAGAAUCCCGUGCGGCGAGGUGGCCCCGGCUCCGUGUAGAGCGCUUUCGAAGAGUCGAGUUGUUUGGGAAUGCAGCUCUAAGUGGGUGGUAAAUUCCAUCUAAAGCUAAAUAUUGGCGAGAGACCGAUAGCGAACAAGUACAGUGAUGGAAAGAUGAAAAGAACUUUGAAAAGAGAGUGAAAAAGUACGUGAAAUUGUUGAAAGGGAAGGGUAUUAGAUCAGACUUGGCGGUUGCUGGGGAUCCCCCCCUGCCCUUGUGGCGGGAGGCUACUCCCUGCGCGCUGGGCCAGCAUCGAUUCGGACGGCGGGAGAAUGGCGUGGAGAAUGUGGCAGCGGCCCUUUGCGGGGCUGGUGUGCUUAUAGCUCUGGGCAGAUGCCGCCUGUGUGGAUCGAGGAGUGCGUCCUUAGGGACUAAGAUGCUGGCGUAAUGAUCUAACACCGCCCGUCUUGAAACACGGACC